Molecule: ribosomal RNA, 372 nt
Filed under: uncultured bacterium
Lineage: Bacteria
Description: bacterial SSU rRNA
Rfam family: Bacterial small subunit ribosomal RNA
Source: RNAcentral
AAUCAACGCUGGCGGCGUGCCUCAGACAUGCAAGUCGAACGCGAAAGUCCCCUUCGGGGGAUGAUUAGAGUGGCGCACGGGUGAGUAACACGUAGGUAAUCCACCUUCGAGUGGGGAAUAACUCAGGGAAACUUGAGCUAAUACCGCAUAAUGCAGCGGCACCACAUGGUGACAGUUGUUAAAGCAUUUAUGCGCUUGAAGAGGAGCCUGCGGCGGAUAGCUAGUUGGUAAGGUAAUGGCUUACCAAGGCUACGAUCUGUAACCGGCCUGAGAGGGCGGACGGUCACACUGACACUGAAUAACGGGUCAGACUCCUACGGGAGGCAGCAGUCGGGAAUUUUGGGCAAUGGGCGAAAGCCUGACCCAGCAACG